This 449-nucleotide ribosomal RNA is filed under the name uncultured bacterium. Its description in RNAcentral is "partial 16S ribosomal RNA". It matches the Rfam family "Bacterial small subunit ribosomal RNA", at positions 29 to 523 of the family's 1533-position model. The record is from RNAcentral.
AAUGAACGCUGGCGGCAGGCCUAACACAUGCAAGUCGAACGGAUCCUUCGGGAUUAGUGGCGGACGGGUGAGUAACGCGUGGGAACAUACCCAAAGGUACGGAAUAGCCUCGGGAAACUGGGAGUAAUACCGUAUGUGCUCGAAAGAGGAAAGAUUUAUCGCCAGAGGAUGAGCCCGCGUAGGAUUAGCUAGUUGGUGUGGUAAAGGCGCACCAAGGCGACGAUCCUUAGCUGGUCUGAGAGGAUGAUCAGCCACACUGGGACUGAGACACGGCCCAGACUCCUACGGGAGGCAGCAGUGGGGAAUAUUGGACAAUGGGCGAAAGCCUGAUCCAGCAAUGCCGCGUGAGUGAUGAAGGCCCUAGGGUUGUAAAGCUCUUUUACCCGGGAUGAUAAUGACAGUACCGGGAGAAUAAGCCCCGGCUAACUCCGUGCCAGCCGCCGCAGUAA